This 399-nucleotide unclassified non-coding RNA is filed under the name Hevea brasiliensis (rubber tree). Lineage: Eukaryota; Viridiplantae; Streptophyta; Magnoliopsida; Malpighiales; Euphorbiaceae. The record is from RNAcentral.
CAAAUACAAACUAGUUUGUACUUGAGGUCAAAAAUAUCAUGUCAGUACAAGCAAGCAUAUCAGGAAUCUGACAUUAGCAUUCGCUGUGAAGAAAGCGCACUUUCAGGCAUCAAUAGAACACAAACAAAUAAAUACAAGCGGUGAUUGCCUUCAUAUUUACAGCUGAACAAGAUUAUUAAACUAAAAUGUUACUGAUCAGACAGGCUUUCUUCUUGGAACCUUCAUCCCAAAUCCUCGCUUCAGCUUCUGGACCGUAGGGGCGAGUUCACCAAGGCUGUUUAGCUCUUUAGCAGAGUCUUUUUCAAGAACUCUCCCUGAAAUUCCAACAGUAUAGAACUUAUUCCUUGUGGUUGGUAGUCCUCUACUGGCAAGUAGAUCUAAAUCUUUCUGAUGAAGUUC